This 437-nucleotide ribosomal RNA is filed under the name uncultured organism. RNAcentral's name for it is "bacterial SSU rRNA". It matches the Rfam family "Bacterial small subunit ribosomal RNA", at positions 402 to 856 of the family's 1533-position model. The record is from RNAcentral.
UGAGUGAAGAAGUAUUUCGGUAUGUAAAGCUCUAUCAGCAGGGAAGAAAAUGACGGUACCUGACUAAGAAGCCCCGGCUAACUACGUGCCAGCAGCCGCGGUAAUACGUAGGGGGCAAGCGUUAUCCGGAUUUACUGGGUGUAAAGGGAGCGUAGGCGGUUUGGCAAGUCAGAAGUGAAAGCCCAAGGCUUAACCAUGGGACUGCUUUUGAAACUGUCAGACUAGAUUGCAGGAGAGGUAAGUGGAAUUCCUGGUGUAGCGGUGAAAUGCGUAGAUAUCAGGAGGAUCACCGGUGGCGAAGGCGGCUUACUGGACUGUAAAUGACGCUGAGGCUCGAAAGCGUGGGGAGCAAACAGGAUUAGAUACCCUGGUAGUCCACGCGGUAAACGAUGAAUACUAGAUGUUGGGGAGCGAAGCUCUUCGGAGUCGCAGCAAAC